UGCGUAGGCGGGCCGGUCAGUCGGGUGUGAAAACUCACGGCUUAACCGUGGGCUUGCAUUCGAAACUGCCGGUCUCGAGUACGGGAGAGGGAAGUGGAAUUCCUGGUGUAGCGGUGAAAUGCGUAGAUAUCAGGAGGAACACCGGUGGCGAAGGCGGCUUCCUGGACCGAUACUGACGCUGAGGCACGAAGGCCGGGGGAGCAAACAGGAUUAGAUACCCUGGUAGUCC
RNAcentral lists this ribosomal RNA (229 nucleotides) under uncultured bacterium. Its description in RNAcentral is "partial 16S ribosomal RNA". It matches the Rfam family "Bacterial small subunit ribosomal RNA", at positions 568 to 796 of the family's 1533-position model. The record is from RNAcentral.